This 433-nucleotide ribosomal RNA is filed under the name uncultured bacterium. RNAcentral's name for it is "partial 16S ribosomal RNA". It matches the Rfam family "Bacterial small subunit ribosomal RNA", at positions 29 to 507 of the family's 1533-position model. The record is from RNAcentral.
AACGAACGCUGGCGGCAUGCCUAACACAUGCAAGUCGAACGAAGGCUUCGGCCUUAGUGGCGCACGGGUGCGUAACGCGUGGGAAUCUGCCCUUUGGUUCGGAAUAACAGCUGGAAACGGCUGCUAAUACCGGAUGAUGACGAAAGUCCAAAGAUUUAUCGCCAGAGGAUGAGCCCGCGUUGGAUUAGGUAGUUGGUGGGGUAAAGGCCUACCAAGCCGACGAUCCAUAGCUGGUCUGAGAGGAUGAUCAGCCACACUGGGACUGAGACACGGCCCAGACUCCUACGGGAGGCAGCAGUGGGGAAUAUUGGACAAUGGGCGCAAGCCUGAUCCAGCAAUGCCGCGUGAGUGAUGAAGGCCCUAGGGUUGUAAAGCUCUUUUAACCGGGAAGAUAAUGACUGUACCGGGAGAAUAAGCCCCGGCUAACUACGUG